AAUGGGCGAAAGCCUGACGCAGCAACGCCGCGUGAGUGAUGAAGGCCCUCGGGUCGUAAAGCUCUGUCGGGUGGGAAGAACAUCCUGGUUGAAAGACCAGGCCUGACGGUACCACCGAAGGAAGCACUGGCUAACUCCGUGCCAGCAGCCGCGGUAAUACGGAGAGUGCAAGCGUUGUUCGGAAUCAUUGGGCGUAAAGGGCGUGUAGGCGGCUUGCUAAGUCUGGUGUGAAAUCCCUCCGCUUAACGGAGGAAGUGCACUGGAUACUGGUGAGCUUGAGUACGGGAGAGGAAGGCGGAAUUCCUGGUGUAGAGGUGAAAUUCGUAGAUAUCAGGAGGAACACCUGUGGCGAAGGCGGCUUUCUGGCCCGAUACUGACGCUGAGGCGCGAAAGCGUGGGGAGCAAA
This 406-nucleotide ribosomal RNA is filed under the name uncultured bacterium. Its description in RNAcentral is "bacterial SSU rRNA". It matches the Rfam family "Bacterial small subunit ribosomal RNA", at positions 370 to 772 of the family's 1533-position model. The record is from RNAcentral.